AAAACGAGAAAUAGAGGCGGAAUAGGAGAAGGAGCUAAGAUGUUUGUCGGGUUCCUGAAGAUGCGUCGACGUGUUAUCAUCCACGCAAGCUUCCCCAACCCAGCCAGUGUACCACAGGACGGGAGGAGGAAGCCAGCGGCUGCAUGCACCAUUGAACAGGACGGCAUUGUAUUCCUCCCACAGGAGUGACUACAGCGAAGCAAGCCCAGAAUAAAGUGUUGAGUGACCGUGAUGAUUCAGUACUACUAACACCAAACAAGUGAGGGAAGUGUUCGGAGUGAACGUGCAAGACAUACAACAGACACCAGACUGCUGCCGCUGCUGCUACUGCCGGUGUAGCCAAAGGAACAAAAGGUCCGGAGCAGGAGGAAGAAAUGGGUGAUUCUUGGAAACGCACCAAUGAAGUUGUGAAGAUGUCUUGGGUGUGUCGCCUAGUGCGUUCCCUUGUCCCGCUCGAGAGAGAGAGAGAGAGAGAGACUCGGAUCACCACCGCGUCGAGCUGCCUGCCCACCUCCCUCCAUUGUCCUUCGCCCCUCACUUGAGUAUUGUGAACGUUGUAUUUAUUUUCAUCACGCCUCUGUGUUUGUAAAGGGAGAGUGUUCCAAUAAGUGAGCUCUGUUUGCAGUCACAUGUGUAUUUCAAAGGUGUUUUGCCAAGUGCUGUGCUGAGGUGUUGUGGUGUAUCUGUCUGUACGGUGUUCGAGCUAGCUUUCGCCCACGUUUGUGACGCUACCUUCCGUACUGCAUUUAAUGUCUGUGG
This is a long non-coding RNA of Portunus trituberculatus (swimming crab), 759 nucleotides long. RefSeq lists it as uncharacterized. NCBI's taxonomy places the organism in Eukaryota, Metazoa, Arthropoda, Malacostraca, Decapoda, Portunidae. The transcript has 4 exons. The record is from RefSeq and is a predicted model, not a curated record.